GGAAUUGUCAGGAGGGCUGCAGACCAGAA
Molecule: non-coding RNA, 29 nt
Filed under: Homo sapiens (human)
Lineage: Eukaryota; Metazoa; Chordata; Mammalia; Primates; Hominidae
Source: RNAcentral